Molecule: ribosomal RNA, 233 nt
Filed under: uncultured bacterium
Lineage: Bacteria
Description: partial 16S ribosomal RNA
Rfam family: Bacterial small subunit ribosomal RNA
Source: RNAcentral
GCUCCUGGCUCAGGAUGAACGCUGGCGGCGUGCCUAAUACAUGCAAGUAGAACGCUGAAGGAAGGAGCUUGCUCUUUCCGGAUGAGUUGCGAACGGGUGAGUAACGCGUAGGUAACCUGCCUGGUAGCGGGGGAUAACUAUUGGAAACGAUAGCUAAUACCGCAUAACAGUAGAUGUUGCAUGAUAUCUACUUAAAAGGUGCAAUUGCACCACUACCAGAUGGACCUGCGUUG